RNAcentral lists this ribosomal RNA (199 nucleotides) under uncultured bacterium. RNAcentral describes it as "partial 16S ribosomal RNA". It matches the Rfam family "Bacterial small subunit ribosomal RNA", at positions 1303 to 1500 of the family's 1533-position model. The record is from RNAcentral.
GGCUGCAACUCGCCUACAUGAAGCCGGAAUCGCUAGUAAUCGCGGAUCAGAAUGCCGCGGUGAAUACGUUCCCGGGUCUUGUACACACCGCCCGUCACACCAUGGGAGCCGGAAAUGCCCGAAGUCAGUGACCCAACCAAUAAGGAGGGAGCUGCCGAAGGCAGGUCUGGUGACUGGGGUGAAGUCGUAACAAGGUAAC